CAGCCACGCCGCGUGGGUGAUGAAGGCCUUCGGGUUGUAAGACCCUGUCGGAGGGGACGAAGUCUUCGGAUUGACGGUACCUUCCAAGAAAGCACCGGCUAACUCCGUGCCAGCAGCCGCGGUAAUACGGAGGGUGCAAGCGUUGCUCGGAAUUACUGGGCGUAAAGCGUACGCAGGCGGUCUGAUAAGUCGGGUGUGAAAGCCCCGGGCUCAACCCGGGAACUGCAUUCGAAACUGCCAGACUUGAGUUUGGGAGAGGGAAGUGGAAUUCCUGGUGUAGAGGUGAAAUUCGUUGAUAUCAGGAGGAACACCGGCGGCGAAAGCGGCUUCCUGGCCCGAUACUGACGCUCAUGUACGAAAGCGUGGGGAGCAAACAGGAUUAGAUACCCCUGGUAGUCCACGCCGUAAACGAUGAGUGCUAGAUGUUGGAGGUAUUCACCCCUUCAGUGUCGAAGCUAACGCAUUAAGCACUCCGCCUGGGGAGUACGGCCGCAAGGUUAAACUC
RNAcentral lists this ribosomal RNA (505 nucleotides) under uncultured bacterium. Its description in RNAcentral is "bacterial SSU rRNA". It matches the Rfam family "Bacterial small subunit ribosomal RNA", at positions 389 to 902 of the family's 1533-position model. The record is from RNAcentral.